AUGCAUAGACGGCAGCACAUACACUAAAACUGGAACGAUAAAGAGAAGAUUAGCAUGGCCCUGCGGAAGUGCGACGCGCAAAAUCGGGAAUCGUGAUGUCUCGUU
This is a small nuclear RNA of Ictalurus punctatus (channel catfish), 105 nucleotides long. The record is from Ensembl. NCBI's taxonomy places the organism in Eukaryota, Metazoa, Chordata, Actinopteri, Siluriformes, Ictaluridae.